GGCCAUGCUGGCAGGUGGGCCGAUGGGAGGCCCGAGUGGGGAUGGCUGCCCAGAGCCUGGUCUGAGGUCGGUUCUCAGCCUCUGUUCUGAGAAAUUAUAGAUCCGCCAGAGAACGUGCACGCCCAGAAAUUGACCAGGUGAGGCUGGACUUCCUGAGGUUAGCGGGUCCCCACCUCCUGGCGCCCAGGGGUGCCCUGCCCAGCCCGGCGCCAUCUGAUCUGUUCCCAAGCCCCGAAGGUGAGUGGCUGCUGGCUU
This is a long non-coding RNA of Lontra canadensis (Northern American river otter), 255 nucleotides long. RefSeq lists it as uncharacterized. NCBI's taxonomy places the organism in Eukaryota, Metazoa, Chordata, Mammalia, Carnivora, Mustelidae. The record is from RefSeq and is a predicted model, not a curated record. The transcript is spliced from 4 exons.